UGCUCCGCAUAUAAAUGUGCAUGGCCAACUGCACGUUUCACAAGCGAAUAUAGCGACAUAUCGCAUCAACAUGGGUCUUUCUGGCACUUUAGUUGUCGUCAUGAUCCUAGCCCUUGUGGCUUUUUCAAGUGAAAGAUGUGAUGCUGCCUGUGGACAGCCGUGCAGGCGCAAUGACGACGGAUCCACAUAUGGUUGCACCGGUCCCUGCAUAUGUAGAACGCUACGUCUCCUUCAGGAGUUGCGCUAUAUGGGAAAGGAACAUGUGUUCCUGUGUCGUAGCUGAAAGUGUUCUUCAAACUGGCAUCAUUGUUAGCCUUAGAACCACUUAGAACAUUUCGAUGAAAUAAAGUCGACAAUUUGACAGCUGUCAA
This is a long non-coding RNA of Rhipicephalus microplus (southern cattle tick), 371 nucleotides long. NCBI's taxonomy places the organism in Eukaryota, Metazoa, Arthropoda, Arachnida, Ixodida, Ixodidae. The record is from RefSeq and is a predicted model, not a curated record.